GAUCAUGGCUCAGAUUGAACGCUGGCGGCAGGCUUAACACAUGCAAGUCGAGCGGGGAAAGGUAGCUUGCUACCUGACCUAGCGGCGGACGGGUGAGUAAUGCUUAGGAAUCUGCCUAUUAGUGGGGGACAACAUUCCGAAAGGAUGCUAAUACCGCAUACGCCCUACGGGGGAAAGCAGGGGAUCUUCGGACCUUGCGCUAAUAGAUGAGCCUAAGUCAGAUUAGCUAGUUGGUGGGGUAAA
This 243-nucleotide ribosomal RNA is filed under the name uncultured bacterium. Its description in RNAcentral is "partial 16S ribosomal RNA". It matches the Rfam family "Bacterial small subunit ribosomal RNA", at positions 15 to 261 of the family's 1533-position model. The record is from RNAcentral.